This is a long non-coding RNA of Passer domesticus (house sparrow), 8514 nucleotides long. RefSeq lists it as uncharacterized. NCBI's taxonomy places the organism in Eukaryota, Metazoa, Chordata, Aves, Passeriformes, Passeridae. The record is from RefSeq and is a predicted model, not a curated record. The transcript is spliced from 6 exons.
GAGUGAGGGAGGCUCGCACUAACCCUGGAGAGUCCCCCAGUCCCGGUGGGCUCCCCCAGUAAAUAAAUCCACGGGUAAAGAUCUUGGGCCUUCAGCACUGCCCGCUAGGCAGCACGGAUGGUGGCUUUAAACCCCUGAGAAGGCAAUUGAGGUGUUUUUAAAAUGGGUUUGUCCUGGAGGUUUGUGUGGAAAGGGAGGAGAAAUGAGGGUUCUCAGACUCCUGUGGAAAAGGAGCAUUACAAAAGUAUGAGUUGCAAGCACAGCUCAGUCUUUCAGCUUGGAGUGUAGUAAACACAUCUAAAGGGGCUUAAAUAAGAGAGAGGAUGACUUCUUGCCUAGGGAAAUAGUGAUAGGCCAAGGAGGAAGGGUUUUAAGCUAAAUGAGGAGAGAUUUAGAUUGGAUGUUGUAAUGAAUUUUUUUACAGUGAAGAUGCUGAGAUGCUGGAACAAGUUGCCCAGAGAACCGAUGGAUUCCCUGUCCCUGGAAGUGUUGAAGGCUAGAUUGGAUGAGACUUUGAGCAACCUGGUCUAGUGAAAGGUGACCCUGCCCAUGGCAGUCAGGCUGGAGAGCCUGGACGGUGUCUGGACCUGGUUCAUCAUUCUGUCAUCUCUGGGACUACCAGGGGGCCCUGUUCCCUGUGUGAUCUGUGUUCUGGGUUCAGAUGUGGGACACUGCUGUGGUCACUGCAAGGUGCUGCCUGUACUGGGUCAUCCCCACCUUGUGGUUUGCACUACCUCAGGGAGCAGUUGGCCCUUGCUGCUUCCUGACACGAUGUAAAUAAUUGGAUUCUAAUUCAUUGGAAUCGGUUGGGUGGUAGUUGAUAACAUGCAUUUAACCAAGACUGAACUAACUGAGCCUAGCUGUUUUACCUGUAAAAUUUGAUAAGAAAACUGGAAAGCGAAAAUAUAAGGGCUGAAAACAUAAUUAGUUUGGACUCCUGUAUGAUAAAUAACUUCUUAAUAAGUGUCAGGGAAAACAUCCUGAAGUUUCAUCCAUGUGAGUACCUCAUGCAGGUGUGGGCUAGGUGAGGCAAAUUGCAGGAGAGCAGUAUGCUUUCAAAGUUUUUUCUUUCACUGAAUGUUUCCUGGCUUCAGGGAUAGAAACCAUAAUGGCAGCUAGACAUAAUGAGUGGGAGCUCAGUGAAGUGGAGGGAUUUGUUUAGUCUUGUCUUGAACCUUAAUGGGAUGAAAUUAGCAGAAUUCCUUGAAAUAGAAACUCCCUGACAGUUUUGCUAAAUAACCCUCAAAAUUAGCAAAUACUUAACAAAGAGGAGGGUUGCUGCAUAGAAUGAAGCCGUGGAUGUGUUAGAUAAGGAAAAAAAGCCCAAAAGGGAACAAGAAACUCUUAUUCUACAACAUUGCUAAAAUUUCCUAAAGGGACCAAAAAAGCCAGCAUAGAUGUAAUGAAAGGGGUUAGCUUGAGCUGUUUUCUGAUGAAUUCUGAACCACGCAGUAGUUCUCUGACCAAGUAACACCAUCAGAGAAGAGAGUUGACAGAAUUUAUUGAAAAUCUAUCAAGAAAUGUGGAGCUUCACUGUCCCUGACUCUUAAUUGUAGUUUGUUUCUUCAGCACGAGCUGAAACAAGUAGGGUAAUAAAGAAUACAGUGUCUGUAUUCAUACUUGUCUCUGUACUUAUGGCAUAGUAUGAUGACUGUGUUGUGUAGAAGAUACUUUUGGAACUGAAACGAAUAAUCUGUGAUAAGUGUAUGGCCAAAAAUCUGAAAUUAAGCCCACAUAAACUGGAACUGCUUCAAAAAGUUGUGUUCCUUUGGUCUGUGGUCAAGGAAGAGGGAAUUCCUACUAGUGAUGACAACAUAUACUAUAUAGGGAUUACUAGUACUAUAAGCACUCCCAGAUGUGUGCAGUUUUACAGAUUUUAAAAAUAGCUGCUUUUGUGCAAGGAGAAAGAAAUCCAUUUGAAUGUGACUUGACACUGACAUGGUUAAAACCAUCUGUGUUGGCCUCCUUGGGUUUCAAAACGGAUUCUUGCAUUCAUGAGCUUGGAUGGUCUUGAAACAAACAAAAAGGCUAACAAGAUCAAUGAGUCAAACAGAAAAUCUGAGCUCUAUAAAAAUAGAAGUAAAUGCGCCACUGAGUAUUGGGUAAGUCUAAGGAGUAUAAGGAAUCUUUGUGACUGAUGUGACUGAGUCACUGUCUGCAUUUGGCUCCUUGGAAUCAGCAAUCCUCAGACCCCUGGCCAGCUGGAAAAUCUGCAGAGUAAUGAUGUCAUGGCAUCUGACAUGGAUGUCAGACAGAGAUGUGGCACUGCUGAAGUGUGGGCUGCAGUAGAAGGUGGGGAAAAGUUAAUCACUGGGUUUUUCUUGAAGUUGGAUAGAAGGUGCUGGUCUGCAGUAAGUGUACUCAUAUCUUCUUUGAAAGUCUGUAUGGUUGCAGGUUCUGUAGGCACAAAUGAGAUUUGAUCACUCUAAGUAACUGAUGAGUUUGGCUGCGGCUGCACAGAACCCAACACAAGUUAUAAAAUUCAAGUGAAGCUAUCUGUGAACCUGAAUUAAGGUGUAAGGGCCCAAGUGGAGCCAAGAUAUGUAAUACUAGGGUACCUGAGAAGGCUGUCUGAAAACUAGUAGGUUUGACAAUGAGUGGUGGUUAAGUAUUACAAUUUGCAUAAAAGAUAAAAAAAAGUGUAAAGUCUGAAAAAACAGAUACCAGAACACAUAUGUUUAAAAGUAAAAAGGAAGAUGCAAAUUGCAUGGAGAUUUCUUGAUAAAAUAAAAAAGCUUGCAUCUUACUAGAGUUUAAAUAAUUGUUUUAAGAACUAGGAAUUAUUAAUGAUUGAUUAGUAUGCUUAUUGGUGCAACUGAAAGGGGGUUUCCAAGGCUAUGUCAUGAUUCAAUAUCACCAGACUUCUGUCUGCCUCUUACAUAGGGAUACCAGUAUCUCAUAUGAAUUGUGAUUGAUUAAUGAUCUGAAAUGUGAUCUGAAAUGUGUUAUGUAUUUUUUAUCACACUGUUUAUUCCUUGGACCUAGUGUGUGUGAAUCACUCCAGAGGUGUUGAAAUUUGUUCCAAGGACCAGUUAUAGUUCUUAAAAAAUACAGUGCAUAAUCCUCUCAAUGCUUCUUUAAGCAGACACUGUAUAAUCAGUUGAUAUUCUCGUAGCCCAAGUAGUCUGUCUACAGGAUCAUUAAUUUAAAACCAAUAAUUAAAUAUAAAACCAAAAUGUCUAUUUUCAAAAAUGGCACACUGAGUUCUUUCAAAGUUGAAAGUGCCACUGGAACCAUUUUCUAAUGGCUGUUUAAUGGUUGUGUGAUUCCAGUUGGUUUAGAAAGGUUUAAGAAGAUCAUCAGGCCAAUAUCUAGGAGAGUAAGAAAUAGAGGUGGAUUUUAGGGAAGUAGAUCAGUAAACUCAAAUGUGUGGAAGAUACAUUUUUUUAGGAAACUGGUCUGAGAGAUAAGAGAGCCAAAGGGAGGCAGAUAUUCCUUGAAUACAUGAGUAGUAAGGACAUACAUAAUUUUCCAUUCUGCAUGAAAAAUAAGAAAUAUAUUAAGAUAGCAGCUUUUAAAAAUUGUUCUUUACGUCAGGUGAGAGAAGGACAGAAAGGAAAAUAAAAGAUCAGGUUAUUCUGAGAAGCAUAGCAAAACUAGGAAAAUAAUGGCACAAAAAAGAAACAAAUUGGAUGGGUAACAGGAAAUCAUCAUCUGUGUGCUCUAGCAUUAACAGAAAAAUCAAGGAAAUUGUCAUCUGUGAAGAGACAAAUUUGGUUAUUUUGAAGAAAUCACACCUAGGAGGCAGAUGUCAUUAAUGUGUUUUAAUUAAUCAAUCUUCACUAAAAUGACCAUCUGCAAGAGGUAGCUAUUUCAGUGCAGCCCAGUGAGAAAGAAGGGAGAAUCUCAGCCUUGAGUGAGGCAUGUGCACUUUGGAGACAGUUAGGAUUGAUAGAUUCUCCUGAAGUAGCUGAGCCUGGAGUACCUCCUCCCAGUGUGACUGCAGAAUUAUCUGUUGUAACCAACUGCCUCUGCAGCCAGACCUGGGAUAGGGUGGUUGCUCAUGGCCUUGUAGUGUUUGAGCUCUGUGUUGGCAACUGAAGUGAAAAUUGUAUUGGUAUUUGAAGUUAUUUUGUCUUCUGCUGUUCUGUCACUGGGGAGUGAAAUAGGUUCCUGUCCUACAAAGUUAUUCCAGUUUCCCACCUGUAAUUAGAUUCUGCACAGGUUUGGUCUUCUGCAUCUAGAGAUGUGCAGCUGCCACACUAAAAGGCUUUAGAGAGGUUUUGCUUAUAGUAGUUGCUAGUUUAAAGACAGUUACUGAAUUAUAGAUUUUGUUUGGGCUGUUUAAUUUGCAUUCUUCACAGCUGGGCAAAAUAUCAAUGUCUAAAAACUCAUUCCUGUACUAGAUUUAGAGCAAGUAAUAGAACAGUUCUAAUUCUAGCCUGAAACUGGUGGUCUGUUUAGUUAAAAACACAUCAAAUGUAGUAGUCAUUAAAGUGGUAUUUUUUUCUAGGCAAUGUUGCACUCUGUUGUUACAACCCACCCCUAAAGGCAGGUGUAACUGAGGUUCUUGUUAAUAGAUCCCUUGGUGUGGAUUAGAGUGAAAUGACACUGAAUGACCAGUGUUUAUAUUUCUAUAUACCUGUAUCUAUAUCUGCAUGUAGGGUUUACUUUAAAAAACUUUGCUUGCAAUGGAAAGGAGGUAUGUAGCCAAUUUGGUUAUUAUCUACAGUAAUAUAAGAAUAAAAGUACAAAGAUAUCACUUAAGAAGAUACAUGAGGAAAAGAAGAAGAAAGGAUAAGAUUAUGGAAAGAUAUCACCACUGGUGGAUCCAGCAAUGAGACUUGAUUGUUGCAAUUUAGAUGUGUGUUGGUCAAAAUGAUGGUCACAGUCUUGAUUCAUUGGGGGUGGGGGAAACCUCCCACCACAUAAAGUUCAGUGGAUUAAAAUAGAUUCCAUUCAGGUGGAGUUUAGGGGUGAGUUUAACACUCUGCUGCAACACUGUGGAUCAUGCACAGUCCUCAGCUGGAAGGCCCCAGAAACGAGUGUGGGGGCACUUUUGGGACCUUUGGUGGUUUGUGACACAUUGAAAGACAUGACAGCUGCCUCUGACAUCAGGGUAGUUGAGCCAGUCCUGCCCCAUCAGAAGGGAUGAACACCUUCAUGUGUGAAUGGAGGGGAGAGUUUACUCAUCUGAGUCAGCUGUGUAAGGGAGGACAUUGGCAAGAUAAAAAGCGCUAUCCCACCUAGCAGGACUUGCUUCUUAUCAGCCUUCUCCCUUAUCUGGCUCAAAACCCAACUUGUUGCUAAACAAAGGUUUUGGGGGUGCAACCCUGGUCUCAGCAAAGCAUCCUGCUGCUUUUGUAAAUGGCUGAUUGUUUGAAUCAUUAACAUUUCAGUCUCUCACAUCUAUGGAAAUUAUUUGGAUGGAUGAAAUCUCUGGCCAAACAGGUGGAAAAGGAAAGACAUGUCUACUGACAGAGAUGACAUUCACUUAGGAGCUCUAAAGAAACUUGGAGGUGAAACAGCUAAAACAUUACUACAUGAAGCAGGUUUGGGCAUAGAUAUGUGGAGUGCAGAUCUGAUCCUGCCAUUCAUGAUGAAGGAUCCAAAAUACUGCAGGGAUGAAAGAAUAUUGGUGUGUGGAAGACAAAAAAAGUGCACACAGUUUGAGAAGAGACAAGAAUUGUGGUGGAAUUGUGUCACUUUGCAAGAGCUUACAAGACCUCAAAACACAUGGAUUGAGCCUUGUCACAUAUGCCACAAUGAGGCCAAGAACAAGCAUUGAAACAGAAGACAGAUGUAGCAAAGGAAGAUGGAUACACUUUGGGGCAUAGGCUUGAAAACAAUAUUCUAAGGGAAUGUGGUAAAAACAACCCUAUGUGAAGAAAAGCCAUUUGAAUAUGUGAAAACUGUGUGAAAAUAUGUAAAGGGCUCAGCUUGAAAAGAUGUCAGUUUAAGUAAAAUAAUGGCAAACCCUUUUCAACAGGAGGGGGUAACAGCUGGAAGAAUAAGAACAUUUGAAGAAAUAUUUGAGGAAAGAGAAAGGAAGUUUUAACAUGCUCAAAAAGUUAAAUUCCCUCAAUUCUGUCAUGAUAUGUAUCCUGCAGCAGAGUGUGAUAACCGUCUUGUUCUGCAGAGUCUAGGGAAAAUAAUCCAUAGUGUGAGUGCAGUUGCUGUUCUCUGUAAGGGUGGAAAAAACCCUCACAUGAAAAAAUGUUUUUAAAAUUCAUAUAUCCUCAAUAACUGUUUAAGUAAAGAAAACUAUUUUCAGUGCUGCAGUUAGAGCAAUCUGGUAGGCAAUGCUUGAGCCCAGUGCUUUUUGUUGUUUGUUUGUGGUUUAUUUUGUUGUUUAAAUUUUUCUUGAUGCAGUGAUAGAUGUCUGGUAAGCGUCUUGGGAGAAAGAGGUGCUGUACAAACAUCUGUAGGUUUUCAGCAAUCUGUUUGGAAAACAUUGUUUCUUCAGAGUGCUACAUUAGUUAUCAUUGGCAUCCAAUGCAUUUCACAACCCGGAAUGAGAAAAAAUUAGUCCUGGAGUGAGCACUAAGGCUUGUAUACUGAACUUUGAUUUAGAACAAAACUUUAGAGACUUCUUGCUACAGGAAGGAGGCUUUCACUAGAGACAGAGCCCUAAGCUGAAGUGAAUGAAGGAAACUUACACACUGCCACGUCUAACAUCGCUUCUUGGAAGGGUCAAUCUUGCUUUAAAAAGACUUCAGAUAAACAGUGCUAUUAUUAUGCUAUUAGGACUUGGACCGUAAGAAUAUAUGUAUAAACAAUGCCCUAGAAAUGUAUUAACACUGCAGGCAAAAAAUGAAGCAGGAAAAUUACAUCUGGGUAGUGUAGGGGGAAAAAUAGCCAAUACAGUGAAAUGAACAGAGUUGCUAGCCUUGGCUGCCCAUCUGUUCUUUCACUCCUCUGAGAAAGCCCUCCCUGAACAUGCUGUCACUAAAAAGGUCACCAAAAAACCAAGUCCAUUUGGACUAGCCCUUGUUUAAUUUAAUAAUAGCUCCUAUUGGGAGAUUAGGCUGUUAAAUCCAGCAAAGUGUGCAUACAGCUAUUCCACCACAGGAUUGUGGAGAGAGUAAAGCCCCUCCUAGAGCUGAAGAGGAAUGCAGGGUCCAGUCAACAGUGUGUUUCAGCCACAAAGCUUGGUUUGCUGUCUGCUUUUUUGUUUAGCUCAGAAAACUGAAAAUAUGCAUGUCUGCAGAGUUAGAUUGUUGUAUUUGAACUGCAGGUGUAUCUUGGCAGAGCAAAAUGAAAACUUCAGCAUUUUGUUGUUCAGGAGAGACCCAUAAUUCAUAAAAAACAACACUGUGCUAUGAUGUUACAGAACUGAGUGAUUCAGCUAGUAUUGGAGAAACAGAUGCAGUUUUAAACACUAUGUUGGAAAACAAUUUCUUAUAUAUCAGCAUGUACUGCAAAGAAGUAGAUGUUUUCUUCUCUGCAUUCAGCAGGAGAUGAGUUAGUAGUCACUCAACCAGCCAUUUUGCUCAAGAAAAAUUUUAGAAAGUAGACAUAGUGGGUGGGGUGUCAUUGGGGUAGGAGGGGACCUAUGGGUUAGAAGCAAUUCUCUGCAACUAUUUUAGGGUGUUAUUUUCUCAAAUGGAGAUGGAACAGUGACUUACAACUGUGAUAGUAUCACAGGAAGUCUGAGAGAGUUAGGUAGUGAGUUAUUUAAUGUUUUAUUGGGGAGAGAAAAUAAAAGUAAAAUUCCUCAAACUGCCUUUGCAAGAGGUUUUUGAAAAUGGUUGUUGGGCAGUGUAGAAAUUCAUGUAAGCUACAGCAAAUUCAUUAGAUCUCAUACAUUAAAUAAAAUGUGCUUUUGCCAGGCUUCUUGGCUCUGAACACUACAGAAAGAUACAAAAUGCUUUUCUCUCAUUGUCUCAGUAGAUAUUUUAGAUUAAAAUAGCUUAAACAGGAAAAGCAUCAGAACAUCCCAGCAAAUUACUAAGAGUUUUGUGUUUCAGGCGUUCUGCAAAGAGCAGUUACUGAGUUCAGAUCUCCUCAGGAGGAGAGCUGUUAAGUAGCUUAGUACAUGCAAUGAGUCGGCUGCUUUAAAUCCAGGGCAAUACCUGUGGUAAAAAUAAAAUGUUGCUUGCCAGGGAAAAUGAAAUAUUUUGGUUUGUUCCAAAAUGGAAGUAGCUUUGCUUUCCCAUAUUGUUGAGGACAAAACAAACAUGUUCUUAUCUGCUACUGUCUAGAUGAGUUUCUUGUUUUUCUUGGUCAGGUUUAAUGUUCAUUCUCCAAGAAGAAAUCCAUUGUUCUCUCAGCCCUGCUCUUUCUCUCUUAGUGAUUAUCUGCUCCCCAGUCAUUUGCAGAAUGAAGAGCUGAACUUUAAUAUGUGCUCUGAGGCCCUACACACCAGAGGGGAAGUGACUGUGACCGCCUGCAUGCUGCUGAACUCAGUGCAGUGUAAAACAGUGUCCACUUCUAUAUAUAUGCUUUCUUGUAGGGGAUACAGGGUAGAGGGUAAAAGGAAUAACAUGGUACUUUCACUGAAAUGUAAUUAAACCAGCUAAAUUGGAAUAAGGAACAUAUAAAUUAAAAUAUUUUUAUUCAUGAGAAUUUUAA